UGGUUCUGGCAUCGAUGAAGAACGCAGCGAAAUGCGAUAAGUAAUGUGAAUUGCAGAAUUCAGUGAAUCAUCGAAUCUUUGAACGCACAUUGCGCCCCUUGGUAUUCCGAGGGGCAUGCCUGUUCGAGCGUCAUUACAACCCUCAAGCAAUGCUUGGUAUUGGGCUUGGCUGUAACGGGCCAGUCUUAAAACUAUUGGCAGUGCUUUCUAGCUCUAAGCGUAGUAAAUUUUCUCGCUACAGGGUCAGACAAGCUCUAGCCAUUAAACUUUAUUUUUUGGUUGACCUCGGAUCAGGUAGGGAUACCCGCUGA
RNAcentral lists this unclassified non-coding RNA (311 nucleotides) under uncultured fungus. RNAcentral describes it as "partial contains 5.8S ribosomal RNA and internal transcribed spacer 2". The stretch from base 1 to 133 matches the Rfam family "5.8S ribosomal RNA", at positions 22 to 154 of the family's 154-position model. Lineage: Eukaryota; Fungi. The record is from RNAcentral.